CCGACGGUGAGGGAUGAAACCUAGGGGAGCGAGCCGGAUUAGAUACCCGGGUAGUCCUAGGCGUAAAUGAUGCGAGUUAAGUGUGGGGGCAUCUACGAGAUGGCCCUGUGCUGUAGGGUAGCCGUUAAACUCGCCGCCUGGGGAGUACGGUCGCAAGGCUGAAACUUAAAGGAAUUGGCGGGGGAGCACCACAAGAGGUGGAGGCUGCGGUUCAAUUGGACUCAACGCCGGAAAACUCACCGGGAGC
Molecule: ribosomal RNA, 247 nt
Filed under: uncultured archaeon
Lineage: Archaea
Description: partial 16S ribosomal RNA
Rfam family: Archaeal small subunit ribosomal RNA
Source: RNAcentral